UUUUUUGUUGUUGUUGUUGUUGUUUGCUUGUUUGUUUUUUUACUUGUAGUCAAGGACCAGAAGCUGUCAUUCCUCCAAAUGGACACCUGUUUUGCUUAAAAUUAUUUACCAGUGUGAAUAGAUGCAAGAAGGAUGAUGCAACAUUCUGGUGCAGUGUAUUAGGCAGACUGAGCCACCAUAAGUGCACUAAGAGACUGGGUGUGGAUGUGAAGAAUAAAGCAUAGAGGCUCUUGGAAAUUUUAAUAAAUGGGCAAAGGAAGGAUGGGAGCAAAUGAGUCCAUAAUGAAAGAGAGGUCAUGGGAAGUAUGGAGAGUCCCUGUAGGAGCCUGAAAGUGAAGACCUCUGCCCGAGGCAAACACCUUCCAGAGUAUGUAUCAGCCCAAACAGUUAAAAACUGGCAGAAGUAUAAAAAACUCAAACCACAUCUGAAAAUGGGAAAACGGGAGACAGUUUGACAGCUUUGCUGGACACUCUCCUGCUGAGUACGUCCUGGAGGGACAGCUCCUGAAGGUUUAUCUCUGUUUAUUCCAUCACCCUUCAUGGUAGAGGUACUGGACACCACAGGAAAACUUGGUCAACCUAAGUAGUUGACCAGAGAUCCUACAUCAGCUGAAGGUCCAGGCAGAGAGUCUUGAGACUACCAGGAGUUUCAUGUAGAUCUUUUCCGGUGGGGCUUUCAGGUUUCCAUGGGCCAGGCAGGAGCCCUGCAACCUGGCGGACCACCAAGCCUCACAGAAGUCAGCUUGGGGGUAUCCUCCCUCUGUGCAUCUGGAGCUUUUGCUGCUGCAAACCACUUGGCCAUCCAGUCAUAAGUGAUAUAUCUGGUACACGUCUUCUGUGUAAAGGGAAGCAGCCAGGCUGGAUCAAAGAAAAUGACAUUACCAAUAAGUUUCAAAUAAAAGUUGUAGUGGAAAAAAGAAGAAGAAUGUGCCGUUUCUGUACAACGUUUCUGUUACUGUACAACUGAUAGCAAAUACACUGUGCGAGAGCAUUGCUAAGAUAACGAGAGCAAGGUGACACGUGUGUGAGUCCAUGGAGGGAAGGACAGUCGAGGGUAAUUAAUAAAUCAUAUUUUC
This 1076-nucleotide long non-coding RNA is filed under the name Gallus gallus (chicken). RNAcentral's name for it is "long non-coding RNA NONGGAT003765". The record is from RNAcentral. Lineage: Eukaryota; Metazoa; Chordata; Aves; Galliformes; Phasianidae.